Molecule: ribosomal RNA, 524 nt
Filed under: uncultured bacterium
Lineage: Bacteria
Description: bacterial SSU rRNA
Rfam family: Bacterial small subunit ribosomal RNA
Source: RNAcentral
GCAAGUCGAGCGAGAAGACGUAGCAAUACGUUUGUAAAGCGGCGAACGGGUGAGGAAUACAUGGGUAACCUACCCUCGAGUGGGGAAUAACUAGCCGAAAGGUUAGCUAAUACCGCAUACGACUCCUGGUCUGCGGAUCGGGAGGGAAAGCGAUACCGUGGGUAUCGCGCUCUUGGAUGGGCUCAUGUCCUAUCAGCUUGUUGGUGAGGUAACGGCUCACCAAGGCUUCGACGGGUAGCUGGUCUGAGAGGACGAUCAGCCACACUGGCACUGCGACACGGGCCAGACUCCUACGGGAGGCAGCAGUAAGGAAUAUUGCGCAAUGGGCGACAGCCUGACGCAGCGACGCCGCGUGGGGGAUGAAGGUCUUCGGAUUGUAAACCCCUUUCGGCAGGGAAGAUGGAAUGGGUAACCAUUCGGACGGUACCUGCAGAAGCAGCCACGGCUAACUUCGUGCCAGCAGCCGCGGUAAUACGAAGGUGGCAAGCGUUGUUCGGAUUUACUGGGCGUACAGGGAGCGUAGG